AUUCUGCACUGCAUGCUGUUUACACGCAACGAAGAAAAUGAUGUAAUUUGUCUAGCCUUCUUCGCCUUCGUUACAAAUAUUGUAUUCGCGAUGUUUCGUCUUUGUUUCACCGAUGUGUUAAGAACAUUAAAUAAUCAAAAUGUGGCUUCUCAGAGGUUUACCCUAUCCAGUCUUAAGUAUUACCAAAUAAGUUUUUGCCAUACAGCACCUGCUGAAACAGUCGUUCAUCACGGAGCCCAAGGAACCGGGAGAAAUUUGCAUCCUGUCCAAGCAAGAGCUAUCAUCAAUCAAACAUUUGUUUCAGUUUCACAUAAACUGAAACUUCCUUCGCUUAAGCCAGUUUACACUACAGUUCCAAUCCAUGGCAAAGGAAACUCCAUGUGGAAGACUGUAUUAACUCUUAGAUGGCCAGAAAAACUAAGUUUUGAAGCAAUCGGCAGGAAUAAAAAAGAGGCAGAAGAACUUGUUGCCCAACAAGCUUUGACUGUUCUGCAUGAUUCCAAGAUUAUUUCACCUAGUGGAAAGUUGUUGUGUGAACUAAGCACACAUAGGACUCUUCAGUCAACAGAUAAACUAACUAUUAUCAAUGAUGAUGCAACAGCAGAUGCUAGUGGCUCUUGUAUUAAACAAGAGGAAAUGGCAGCAAUUGAGGCAAAAUUUCCCAAUUUUAAAUCAACCUUGCUUAAUUGUUUUAUGAAGGUUUCAAAUCACAUGAAGAACGCCAAUUUUAUCGCUCGACCGGCUUUCAAGCGUGUGAAAAAUGGAUCAAUUUCCGACUGGCAAGCAAGCUAUAGCUUGAAAUGGCCUGAGCCGAAGGAAUUUUCAGGAAUCGGAACAAAUCGGGCUGAAGCUGAAAAAUUAGCGAUUCUCUCUGCACUUCAUUGGUUGACGGAAAAUAAUUUCUUGCAUCAAAAUGGCUAUCCUAUUUUAUAUUCCAAUGAAGAGCUCAGUAAAAUGAAAAGCGCUGUAACAAGUCCUGCUAUUGUCAAAUUACCUCCAGCAUUGGUGAAUGAGCUUGACGAAAUUCUGAAUGAUUUCAAAAAAAUAAAGCCGUUAAUGGAUGAGGAUCAAAUGUUCUUUGAACGAGAAACUGCAGCCGCAAAUAGCUUGAUUUCAGAAGAUGAAAAGAUGAUGGAGGAGAUUGACGAGGAACGUGACGUGGAAGAAUCCAUUGACAAUAUACCUACAUCGUCAAGUAAUGAAUAUGGAUACAAUAAAGAUGAUGAAUCAUCAGUUGAUCCAAUUACCGGACGUAAAGUCCUACCGCUAAGCUCUGCGGAGAUCGAAAAAAGAUCCAAUGAGUUAUUUCUCAGUGCACAAACGAGGAUAAUAGAGAAAGGUGGUCCAGUCAUUCCUUUUCUACCAAUCGCGGAAAAGCGCGAAGCCAUUUUAGAUUUAAUCGAACAAAAUAGGGUUGUUGUGCUGAGUGGUGGUACCGGAUGUGGCAAGAGUACACAAAUGCCCCAGUAUUUACUGGAUUCUUAUGCGCUGAAACAUCGUGGCACUGAAUGUAAUAUAAUCGUUACACAGCCUCGUCGGUUGGCUGCGCUUUCUUUAGCUCAAACUGUUGCCAAUUAUCGAGGAGAAAAAAUAGGUGAGAGUGUUGGCUACCAGGUGCGACUGAAUUCCGUACUACCGAGGCAUCCACUGGGUCGUAUACUCUUCUGUUCAACCGGAAUUCUUUUGCGAAGACUUCAAGCUUGUCCAGACAUGUCGGGCGUAUCCCACCUAAUAAUCGAUGAAGUGCACGAACGCGACUGUUUGACCGAUUUUACGCUAGUUAUUCUUAAAGAUCUUUUGCAAUCGAACCCCUUGUUAAAGGUCAUCCUGAUGAGUGCCUCUCUAAAUACGGAUCUGCUGUCACGUUAUUUUGAUUCGGCUCCGCUGAUCCACGUUGAAGGAAGAACGUUUCCUGUUCAGAGAAUUUUUUUACCUGAAGUCCAAAGUUUGACCAGAGGUUUUGGAGAAAGAAAUAAUACCACGAAUAUCAAACCAAUGGUUGAUCAAGCUUUAGUAGUGAAACUAGUUCGUUAUAUCGACAUAAACAAACCAUCACAAGGUUCCAUUUUAAUUUUUCUACCUGGUUGGGCAGAAAUUAAAAGCCUUCACUCUAAGUUAAAGGAAUUUUAUCCUAGUGAUGAAACUCAUUGGAUAUUACCGGUGCAUUCCCGACUUUCACAGGUUGAGCAAGAGCGAAUAUUUGAUCGCCCACCUGAGGGUGUCCGGAAAAUCGUUCUAGCAACCAAUAUAGCUGAAACUAGCUUGACGAUCAAUGAUUGCGUCUACGUGAUCGAUCCUGGUGUUCAUAAAGAACUAAGGUACAAUUCACAACGGGGUUCUGCUGUAAUGGAAAAUCAAUGGAUAGCAAAAGCUAAUGCACAACAACGAGCUGGACGUGCCGGACGUGUUCAACCAGGAGAAGCAUUCCAUCUCUACUCCGAAGAGAAGCAUGAAGAAAUGGAGCGGUUUCCGCAGGCAGAAAUUCUUCGAAUACCUCUGGAGAAGGUUGUCAUGGAUAUUAAAGCGUAUAAUGAAAAUUUGAAGUCGAUUGAUUUCUUAAGCCGGACGCUAGAGCCUCCUUCACACCGAGCAAUCCGAGUUGCAAUCCGAGAACUAGAGUCGAUAGGUGCAUUGGAUGAGCAUGAACGACUUACACCACUGGGACGUCGUAUUGCUCAGUUUUCAACACAUCCCCGUUUGGCCAAAUCACUCGUGUUUGCUACUUUUUUUCGCUGUUUGGACCCAGUGGCAUCUAUAGUGGCAGGACUCAGCUCAGCACGUGAGGGCUGGUCGGUGGAAUCGACAGUUGACAACCAAAGACAAAUUAUUCGACAAGCGAAAUAUCGAUUCCAUCCCACGAGCGAUCACUUGGCUUUGGCCAGUUUGAUGAGGCAAUUUCGAAAUCAACGUGGUCGGUAUGAGGUCGAUGAAUUCUGCGAAAAUUUCAAGCUAAUGUGAAAUCACUUUACUUCCUCAAAGGUGUGAGGAGCUUGUUAGUUGACCAUUUGAAGGAUGCGAAUUUACUCGGUGAUAGAUCACAUGCCGAUUCCAUUCGUCAUCCGGUGAAUCAACAUGCAGACAAUGAAGAAAUGAUAAAAGCGGCUCUCGUCAUGGGGUUUGGUGAUCGCAUUCUCCGAGUGCGUAGGGGGAAGAUUGUCAAGGGGAUUAUCAAAUCUAACGAAUUAGUCAUUUUAAGCGAGAAACACGGUCCCGUUCACAUAGUGCCUGAUUCAGUCAACGCAGACGGUAAAAUCAAAUCCGAUGUCAUGAUCUACUUCAACGGGAUUUUUUCAACGGAACGAAAAGCUUUCGUUGUAAGAGAUACAACCCAGAUUUCAAAUAUGACUGCCGUGUUAACGGCUGGAAGAUCAUUCACUGCAGGGAGUCAGUUGGACGAAGUUAGCGACAGUUCUUCUGCAAGUAUUACCAUCGACGAGAGUGAAAAUUUACAAUUCGCUUGUUCCCCAAGAGAAACGCGGUUACUAAUGGAACUUCGAGAGUCGUUGUCUGAUACCUGUGAUUUUCUGCUGCGGACUGCAGGAUUACGUCAAAUGAAUGAGCUUACGUCAGUCGUAGGCAAAUUCCAUGGUCGACAAGUUGACAUGCUAGCUCGUUUGUUAUCAACAAAAAACAACUAGGUAAAAGUGAUUAGAUAAUGAUAAUUUAACAAUAAACGUCAGUUUUGUUAUCAA
Molecule: unclassified non-coding RNA, 3692 nt
Filed under: Daphnia magna
Lineage: Eukaryota; Metazoa; Arthropoda; Branchiopoda; Diplostraca; Daphniidae
Description: aTP-dependent RNA helicase DHX30, transcript variant X6
Source: RNAcentral